Molecule: ribosomal RNA, 254 nt
Filed under: uncultured bacterium
Lineage: Bacteria
Description: partial 16S ribosomal RNA
Rfam family: Bacterial small subunit ribosomal RNA
Source: RNAcentral
UACGUAGGGUGCGAGCGUUGUCCGGAAUUAUUGGGCGUAAAGAGCUUGUAGGCGGUUUGUCGCGUCUGCUGUGAAAAUCCGAGGCUCAACCUCGGACUUGCAGUGGGUACGGGCAGACUAGAGUGUGGUAGGGGAGACUGGAAUUCCUGGUGUAGCGGUGGAAUGCGUAGAGAUCCGGAGGAACACCGAAGGCGAAGGCAGUGUCCUGGCGAGUAUCCUGACGCUGAGGUGCGAAAGCCAGGGGAGCGAACGGG